This 2614-nucleotide ribosomal RNA is filed under the name Salmonella enterica subsp. enterica serovar Enteritidis. RNAcentral's name for it is "bacterial LSU rRNA". It matches the Rfam family "Bacterial large subunit ribosomal RNA", at positions 362 to 2824 of the family's 2925-position model. The record is from RNAcentral. Lineage: Bacteria; Pseudomonadati; Pseudomonadota; Gammaproteobacteria; Enterobacterales; Enterobacteriaceae.
GGGUGACAGCCCCGUACACAAAAGCGCAUGUGCUGUGAGCUCGAUGAGUAGGGCGGGACACGUGGUAUCCUGUCUGAAUAUGGGGGGACCAUCCUCCAAGGCUAAAUACUCCUGACUGACCGAUAGUGAACCAGUACCGUGAGGGAAAGGCGAAAAGAACCCCGGCGAGGGGAGUGAAAAAGAACCUGAAACCGUGUACGUACAAGCAGUGGGAGCCCCACCACCAAAGCAUUUGCUGUACCGCGUUGACGGAGCGAAGCGACGUCAAACCGAUAAAACAGCAGUGUAAAGUGAGCCGCAGGGCGCUUUGCGCGACAGCGCAAAGGCAGGCGGUUUCGCGUAGCGAAAGCGAAUGCUUUGGGGUGGGGUGACUGCGUACCUUUUGUAUAAUGGGUCAGCGACUUAUAUUCUGUAGCAAGGUUAACCGAAUAGGGGAGCCGGAGGGAAACCGAGUCUUAAUUGGGCGUUAAGUUGCAGGGUAUAGACCCGAAACCCGGUGAUCUAGCCAUGGGCAGGUUGAAGGUUGGGUAACACUAACUGGAGGACCGAACCGACUAAUGUUGAAAAAUUAGCGGAUGACCUGUGGCUGGGGGUGAAAGGCCAAUCAAACCGGGAGAUAGCUGGUUCUCCCCGAAAGCUAUUUAGGUAGCGCCUCGUGAAUUCAUCUCCGGGGGUAGAGCACUGUUUCGGCUAGGGGGCCAUCCCGGCUUACCAACCCGAUGCAAACUGCGAAUACCGGAGAAUGUUAUCACGGGAGACACACGGCGGGUGCUAACGUCCGUCGUGAAGAGGGAAACAACCCAGACCGCCAGCUAAGGUCCCAAAGUCAUGGUUAAGUGGGAAACGAUGUGGGAAGGCCCAGACAGCCAGGAUGUUGGCUUAGAAGCAGCCAUCAUUUAAAGAAAGCGUAAUAGCUCACUGGUCGAGUCGGCCUGCGCGGAAGAUGUAACGGGGCUAAACCAUGCACCGAAGCUGCGGCAGCGACACUGUGUGUUGUUGGGUAGGGGAGCGUUCUGUAAGCCUGUGAAGGUGUGUCGUGAGGCAUGCUGGAGGUAUCAGAAGUGCGAAUGCUGACAUAAGUAACGAUAAAGCGGGUGAAAAGCCCGCUCGCCGGAAGACCAAGGGUUCCUGUCCAACGUUAAUCGGGGCAGGGUGAGUCGACCCCUAAGGCGAGGCCGAAAGGCGUAGUCGAUGGGAAACGGGUUAAUAUUCCCGUACUUGGUGUUACUGCGAAGGGGGGACGGAGAAGGCUAUGUUGGCCGGGCGACGGUUGUCCCGGUUUAAGCGUGUAGGUGUGUGUUCCAGGUAAAUCCGGUUCACUUUAACACUGAGGCGUGACGACGAGGCACUACGGUGCUGAAGCAACAAAUGCCCUGCUUCCAGGAAAAGCCUCUAAGCAUCAGGUAACAUCAAAUCGUACCCCAAACCGACACAGGUGGUCAGGUAGAGAAUACCAAGGCGCUUGAGAGAACUCGGGUGAAGGAACUAGGCAAAAUGGUGCCGUAACUUCGGGAGAAGGCACGCUGACACGUAGGUGAAGUGAUUUACUCAUGGAGCUGAAGUCAGUCGAAGAUACCAGCUGGCUGCAACUGUUUAUUAAAAACACAGCACUGUGCAAACACGAAAGUGGACGUAUACGGUGUGACGCCUGCCCGGUGCCGGAAGGUUAAUUGAUGGGGUCAGCGCAAGCGAAGCUCCUGAUCGAAGCCCCGGUAAACGGCGGCCGUAACUAUAACGGUCCUAAGGUAGCGAAAUUCCUUGUCGGGUAAGUUCCGACCUGCACGAAUGGCGUAAUGAUGGCCAGGCUGUCUCCACCCGAGACUCAGUGAAAUUGAACUCGCUGUGAAGAUGCAGUGUACACGCGGCAAGACGGAAAGACCCCGUGAACCUUUACUAUAGCUUGACACUGAACAUUGAGCCUUGAUGUGUAGGAUAGGUGGGAGGCUUUGAAGUGUGGACGCCAGUCUGCAUGGAGCCGACCUUGAAAUACCACCCUUUAAUGUUUGAUGUUCUAACGUGGACCCGUUACCCGGGUUGCGGACAGUGUCUGGUGGGUAGUUUGACUGGGGCGGUCUCCUCCUAAAGAGUAACGGAGGAGCACGAAGGUUGGCUAAUCCUGGUCGGACAUCAGGAGGUUAGUGCAAUGGCAUAAGCCAGCUUGACUGCGAGCGUGACGGCGCGAGCAGGUGCGAAAGCAGGUCAUAGUGAUCCGGUGGUUCUGAAUGGAAGGGCCAUCGCUCAACGGAUAAAAGGUACUCCGGGGAUAACAGGCUGAUACCGCCCAAGAGUUCAUAUCGACGGCGGUGUUUGGCACCUCGAUGUCGGCUCAUCACAUCCUGGGGCUGAAGUAGGUCCCAAGGGUAUGGCUGUUCGCCAUUUAAAGUGGUACGCGAGCUGGGUUUAGAACGUCGUGAGACAGUUCGGUCCCUAUCUGCCGUGGGCGCUGGAGAACUGAGGGGGGCUGCUCCUAGUACGAGAGGACCGGAGUGGACGCAUCACUGGUGUUCGGGUUGUCAUGCCAAUGGCACUGCCCGGUAGCUAAAUGCGGAAGAGAUAAGUGCUGAAAGCAUCUAAGCACGAAACUUGCCCCGAGAUGAGUUCUCCCUGAGACUUA